AGUAGUUUGAUCAGUGGCUCAGAUCAAGCUGGCGGCGUGCCUCAGACAUGCAAGUCGAACGUAUUAAAGCUCUCUUCGGAGAGUGUAUAGAGUGGCGCACGGGUGAGUAACACGUAAGUAAUCUACCCUCGAGUGGGGAAUAACAACCGGAAACGGUUGCUAAUACCGCAUAAUGCAGCGGCACCGCAAGGUGACAGUUGUUAAAGAUUUAUCGCUUGAGGAGGAGCUUGCGGCAGAUUAGCUAGUUGGUAGGGUAACGGCUUACCAAGGCUACGAUCUGUAACCGGUCUAAGAGGACGGUCGGUCACACUGACACUGAAUAACGGGUCAGACUCCUACGGGAGGCAGCAGUCGGGAAUUUUGGGCAAUGGGCGAAAGCCUGACCCAGCAACGCCGCGUGAAGGAUGAAGUAUUUCGGUAUGUAAACUUCGAAAGAAUAGGAAGAAUUAAUGACGGUACUAUUUAUAAGGUCCGGCUAACUACGUG
This 486-nucleotide ribosomal RNA is filed under the name uncultured bacterium. RNAcentral describes it as "bacterial SSU rRNA". It matches the Rfam family "Bacterial small subunit ribosomal RNA", at positions 1 to 507 of the family's 1533-position model. The record is from RNAcentral.